CAAACGGGUGAGUAACGCGUGGGUGACCUACCUUCGAGUGGGGGAUAACCUUCCGAAAGGAGGGCUAAUACCGCAUAACAUCCCGCUCUUGGACGAGCGGUGAUCAAAGCUGGGGAUCGCAAGACCUAGCGCUUGUUGAGGGGCCCGCGUCCGAUUAGCUUGUUGGUGGGGUAAUGGCCCACCAAGGCUACGAUCGGUAGCCGGCCUGAGAGGGCGGACGGCCACACUGGGACUGAGACACGGCCCAG
This 248-nucleotide ribosomal RNA is filed under the name uncultured bacterium. RNAcentral describes it as "partial 16S ribosomal RNA". It matches the Rfam family "Bacterial small subunit ribosomal RNA", at positions 99 to 334 of the family's 1533-position model. The record is from RNAcentral.